RNAcentral lists this ribosomal RNA (254 nucleotides) under uncultured bacterium. RNAcentral's name for it is "partial 16S ribosomal RNA". It matches the Rfam family "Bacterial small subunit ribosomal RNA", at positions 524 to 776 of the family's 1533-position model. The record is from RNAcentral. RNAcentral also lists the same sequence under 1 other name.
UACGGAGGAGGCAAGCGUUAUCCGGAAUGAUUGGGCGUAAAGCGUCCGUAGGUGGUUUUUCCAGUCGGCUGUUAAAGAGCAAAGCUCAACUUUGUAAAGGCAGUGGAAACUGAAAGACUAGAGAGCCGUAGGGGUAGAGGGAAUUCCCGGUGUAGCGGUGAAAUGCGUAGAGAUCGGGAAGAACACCGGUGGCGAAAGCGCUCUACUGGACGGCAUCUGACACUCACAGGACGAAAGCUAGGGGAGCGAAUGGG